CCCUUAGAUGUUCUGGGCCGCACGCGCGCUACACUGAUGCAUUCAACGAGUCCAACCUUGACCGAGAGGUCCGGGUAAUCUUUGAAACUGCAUCGUGAUGGGGCUAGAUUAUUGCAAUUAUUAAUCUUCAACGAGGAAUGCCUAGUAAGCGUGAUUCAUCAAAUCGCGUUGAUUACGUCCCUGCCCUUUGUACACACCGCCCGUCGCUCCUACCGAUUGAGUGUGUUGGUGAGGAGUUUGGAUUGGCCUCGGAAGGUGGUUCGCCACCGUCCGUAGCUGAGAGGUUCUCCAAACCGCCCCACUUAGAGGAAGGAGAAGUCGUAACA
RNAcentral lists this ribosomal RNA (326 nucleotides) under uncultured eukaryote. RNAcentral describes it as "partial 18S ribosomal RNA". It matches the Rfam family "Eukaryotic small subunit ribosomal RNA", at positions 1470 to 1796 of the family's 1831-position model. The record is from RNAcentral.